This 215-nucleotide unclassified non-coding RNA is filed under the name soil metagenome. Its description in RNAcentral is "partial contains 5.8S ribosomal RNA, internal transcribed spacer 2, and large subunit ribosomal RNA". The record is from RNAcentral.
AACCUAGCACACCUGCGGUGUGUACCUGCGGAAGGAUCAUUAACAAGCUGUGGGAGAUCGAUCAAUUUGAUCUCACACCUGGCCAACCUUGUUAACCUUAAAUAUAUUGCUUUGGUGAGCCCUGCUCACCAAAGUCAAACCCUAAACUCUUGAUUGUUUCUGCUGUCUGAGCAUGCAAGUGCAAAAUUUAGUUAAAAACUUUCAGCAACGGAUCU